UACGGAGGGGACAAGCGUUGUUCGGAAUUACUGGGCGUAAAGUGCAUGUAGGCGGCUUUGUAAGUCAGAGGUGAAAUCCCGGGGCUCAACCUCGGAACUGCCUUUGAUACUGCAAAUCUCGAGUCCGGAAGAGGUGAGUGGAAUUCCUAGUGUAGAGGUGAAAUUCGUAGAUAUUAGGAAGAACACCAGUGGCGAAGGCGGCUCACUGGUCCGGUACUGACGCUGAGGUGCGAAAGCGUGGGGAGCAAACAGG
RNAcentral lists this ribosomal RNA (253 nucleotides) under uncultured bacterium. Its description in RNAcentral is "partial 16S ribosomal RNA". It matches the Rfam family "Bacterial small subunit ribosomal RNA", at positions 524 to 776 of the family's 1533-position model. The record is from RNAcentral.